This 4264-nucleotide small RNA is filed under the name Oryza sativa Japonica Group (Japanese rice). RNAcentral describes it as "sRNA Os01g0633800". Lineage: Eukaryota; Viridiplantae; Streptophyta; Magnoliopsida; Poales; Poaceae. The record is from RNAcentral.
AAAUGCCAAUUUCCUUAAUUUUGUUUGAUCCUAUGCUUGUUUGUAAAAGAAAAUAUUUGCUUGCAUAUAAACCUUUUGUCUUUAUUGUGCUCUGACGUUUUAAUUUUGGAGUUAUAACUGAGUUACAGUGUUACGUCUCCCUGUUUGUCCAAAAAAAUAUCUUGGUUACGGGCUAUAGACGUUACAUUUGGUUGCAUCUUAUUGAUUUUUAUUAAAAUCGUUGUUUGAUUGUACCAAACGAUUUCUUGGUUUCUCCGUUGAGGCUUCAUUUUUCAUCCAGAAGUUUAUAGUGUACUUGUAGUUGGAUUCCUUGAUUUUGAAAUGUUCUUCUUGCAUUGAUUCUUCAAAUUUCCUUUUUGGAGUUUCCAAUUUUGUUGGCUGUCACAGUUUGUCUAACUUAAGUUUGAUUGAACUUUGAUUUCUGGUUUAUGAAAACAAAAUAUUAUUUGCAUUGAAGCCCAACCAUUUUAUUUUGCUCUGACGUUAAGUUUGAACUUACAAUUGAGUUGCAGAGUUGUGUCUUCUUGUUUAUUGAAAACAAAUAAUUUUGUUGUGAGCUGGACCCUUGAAUUUUGGAGCACCUAUAAGUUUUUAUGAAAAUCACGGUUUCCUUAUAUCAAACUUUUCUAGGUUUAUGCCUUGACACUUUAUUUUCUGUUGGCUCUGUUGAACUUUGUGCUUUUAAUUGGAUUACUUCAUGUUUGAACGUUCUCUUCUAUUAAUGCUUUUGAUAUGCUAUUUGGACUUUAAACCUUUACUUUGGUUUUUCUUGUGACGGUUGUUUUUUCAUCAUUGAUUUUCAGCUUGGUACUUUAAGUUUGAUUUAUUCAAUUACAAAGUUUCUGAUUUUGGAAUUUCUCUUUGGACUUUAAAGCUUUAAUUUAGUUUUGAAAUCUCAAUUUCCUAAAUUUUGUAUGAACUUAUGCUUAUAAGUUUGUGAAAAGAAAAUAGUUGCUUGCAUUUAAACCUUGUGGCUUUUUUGUGCUAUGAUGUUUUAAUAGCAUACUUGUAACUAAUUUAAUUUCUAGAGUUGCGUGUCCCUGUUUAUCGAAAAAAAAUAUCUUGGUAACGGGCUAGAAAUCUACUUUUGGUUGCAUCCCGUAGAUUUUAUGAAAGUUGUAGUUUGCUUGUUCCGAGCGAUUUAUUGGUUUUUCUAUAAGUUCAAAAUUUGUACUUUUAGUUGGAUUCCUUUAUUUUCAAACGUUCUUCUUACAUCGAUUCUUCAAUUAUCCUUUCUGGAGUUUCCAAUUUUUUCGGUUAUUACCAUUCGUCUUCCUUAAGUUAGUUUGAACUUUGAUAUCUGGUUUAUGAAAACUUUACUUUGGUUUCUCGCGUGGCAGCUAUUUUAGUUGGAUUUCUUCAAUUAUAAAGUUUCUCUUUUUUGAACUUCUCUUUGGACUUUAAAGUUUUAUUUUAGUUCUGAUGUCUCCAUUUCCUAAAUUUUGUAUGAACUUUUGCUUACUAGUUUGUGAAAAGAAAGUAGUUGCUUGCAUUUAAACCUUGCGGUUUUUUCGUGCUCUAACAUUUAGACUUGUAACUAAGUUCUAGAGUUGCGUUUCCUUGUUUAUCGAAAAAAAUCUUGGCUUGCGGGCUAGAUGUCUAUAUUUAGUUGCAUCCUUUUGAUUUUAUGAAAAUCGUAGUUUGCUUGUUCUGAACGAUUUAUUGGUUUCUCCGUUGACGCUUUAUUUUUCAUUCAUAAGUUUAAAUUUCGUACUUUUAGUUGGAUUCCUUGAUUUUGUAACAUCCUGCUUGCAUCGAUUCUUCAAAUAUCCUUUUUGAAGUUUCCAAUUUUUUUUCGUUGUCACGGUUCGUCUUUGUAAAGUUUGUUUGAACUUGUUUUCUGGUUUAAUAAAACAAAAUAUUUGUUUUGCAUUGAGGCCUAACCUUUUUAUUUUGCUCUGACGUUAAUUUUGAACUUAUAGUUGAGUUGUAGAGUUGGGUCUUCCUGUUUAUUGAAAACAAAUAACUUUUUGUGAGCUAGACUCAUGCAUUUUGUUGCACAUCUAAGCCUUUAUAAAAAUCACGGUUUCCUUGUAUCAAACAAUUCUAGUUUUCUCCCUUGAUGCUUCAUUUUCCAUCCUUUUGUUUAAACCUUAUGCUUUUCGUUGGAUUUCCUUAUUUUUGAAAGUUCUCUUGUAUUAAUGCUUUUGACAUGCUAUUUGGACUUUAAAACUUUAUUUUGGUUUCUUGAGUGACAUUUGUUUUUUCACCCAUGAAUUUUGUUGUAGAGGUUCGUCUCCUGUGUAUUGAAAACAAAUAACUUAGUUGUAAACUGGACACAUGCAUUUUGUUGUACCUUGAAGCUUUUAUGAAAAUCGCGAUUUCCUAGUAUUGGUCCUUUUUAGGUUUGUCCCUUCACGUUUCAAUGUUCCGUCCUUCCAUUCAAACUGAACGCUUUUAGUUGGAUUUCUUUUUUUUUUCGAACUUUCUCUUGUAUUAAUGCUUUUGAUGUUCUAUUUGGACUUUAAAGUUUUAAUUUAGUUUUGAAAAAUUAGAUUUCCUAAUUUUUGUUUGAACUUAUGCUUACUAGUUUGUGAAAAGAAAAUAUUUGCAUGCAUUUAAAUCUUGGGCUUUUUUGUGCUCUACCAUUUUCAUUUUUGACUUAUAACUAUGUUCUAGAGUUACGUCUUCCUGUUUAUCCAAAAAAUAUCUUGGUUGCGGGCUAGACAUCUACAUUUGGUUGCAUCCUAUUAAUUUAUGAAAAUCGUUGUUUGCUUGUUCCGAACGAUUUAUUGGUUUUACCAUUGACGAUUCAUUUUUCACCCAUAAGUUUUAAUUUUGGACUUUUAGUUCGGUUCCUUCAUUUUGUAGCGUUCUUCUUGCAUAUAUUCUACACAUAUCCUUUUUGGAGUUUCCAAAAUUUUUUUUGGUUGUCACGGUUUGUCUUCCUUCGGUUUGUUUUAACUUUGUUCUUUGGUUUAUAAAAACAAAAUAUUUUUUUUGCAUUAAGGCCUAACUGAUUUAUUUUGCUCUUAUAAUUAUAAUUGAGUUGUAGACUUGGUUCUUCCUGUUUAUCUAAAACAAAUAACUUUGUUGUGAGCUGGGCCCAUGCAUUUUGUUGUACCUUGAAGCUUUUAUGAAAAUCAAUGUUUCCUUGUAUCAAACAUUUCUAGGUUUCUCCCUCGACGAUUCAUUUUCUGUCAUUUCGAUUAAAGCCUGAUAAGCAAUUAGUUGGAUUUCUUUAUUUUUGAACGUUCUCUUGUAUUAAUGCUUUUGACACGCUAUUUGGUCUUUAAAACUUUAUUUUGGUUUCUCGAGUGACGGUUGUUUUUUCAUCCUUAGUUUCAACUUAGUACUUUUAGUUUCAUUUCUUCGAUUAUAAAUUCUCUUUUUUGAUCUUCUCUUUGGAUUUUAAAUAUUUAUUUUAGUUCUGAAAUCUCAAUUUCCUAAAUUUUGUUUGAACUUACGCUUAAUAGUUUUUGACAAGAACAUAUUUUGGUGCAUUUAAACCCUGUAGUUUUUUUUGUUCUCUGACAUUUUAAUUUUGGCCUUAUAAAUAAAUUCUAGAGUUACGCCUCCUUUUUUAUCGAAAAAAUAUUUUGGUUGCGAGCUGGACGUUUACAUUUGGUUGCAUCUUAUUGAUUUUAUGAAAAUCAUAGUCUGGUUGUACCAAACGAUUUCUUGGUUUCCCGGUGAGGCUUCAUUUUUCAUCGAGAAAUUUACAUUUUGUACUUUUAUUUGGAUUCCUUGAUUUUUAAACAUUCUUCUUGCAUCGAUUCUUCAAAUAUCCUUUUUGGAGUUUCCAAUUAUUUUUGUUGUCACGGUUCAUCUUCCUUAUGUUUGUUUGAACUUUGUUUUCUGGUUUAUAAAAAUAAAAUAUUCUAUUUGCAUUAAGCCUUGACCGAUUUAUUUUGCUCUGUUGUUAAGGUUGGACUUUUAAUUGAGUUGUAGAGUUGAGUCUCCCCGUUUAUUGAAAAUGAGCUGGGCCCUUAUAAUUUGUUGCACGCUCAAUCUUUUCAGAAAAUCACAGUUUCCUUGUAUUGAACAUUUCUAGGUUUCUUCCUUGAUGCUUUAUUUUCUGUCCUUUAAGUUUGAUUUCUUCAAUUACAAAUUUUCUGUUUUUGGAACUUCUCCUUGGACUUUAAAGCUUUAUUUUAGUUUUGAAAUCUUAAUUUCCUAAAUUUUGUAUGAACAUAUGCUUACUAGUUUGUGAAAAGAAAAUAUUUAGCUUGCAUUUGAACCUUGCGGCUUUUUUGUGCUAUGACGUUUUAAUAGUAGGCUUAAAACUAAUUUAAUUUCUACAGUUACUCUACAUUAUUUAUCG